RNAcentral lists this small nucleolar RNA (91 nucleotides) under Chinchilla lanigera (long-tailed chinchilla). RNAcentral describes it as "Small nucleolar RNA SNORD116 (ENSCLAG00000018699.1)". Lineage: Eukaryota; Metazoa; Chordata; Mammalia; Rodentia; Chinchillidae. The record is from RNAcentral.
ACAUCAAUGAUGAGACUCCAGUUAAUUUCUUAGGAGCUGAACAUAAUGAGUGAAAACUCUGAAAUGGUCAUGCUCAGCUUUCCUGAGUUUU